Molecule: transfer RNA, 407 nt
Filed under: Vombatus ursinus (common wombat)
Lineage: Eukaryota; Metazoa; Chordata; Mammalia; Diprotodontia; Vombatidae
Description: lncRNA (ENSVURG00010017950.1)
Source: RNAcentral
AAAAUGAAACUAACCUUCCAGGAAAGCUUUCCUUUCACCCGGUUUAAAUUAAAUUUAACACACACGGAAUCCUGAUUUGUUUUCGAUUUGUUCAGGGAAUUCUUGAGAUGGAAGCGAUGGAAAAAGUUUCACGCCCAACGUGGGGCUCGAACCCACGACCCUGGGAUUAAGAGUCCCAUGCUCUACCGACUGAGCUAGCCGGGCAAUCCUAGAAGUUUCCUCAUCUGUAAAAUGAGUUGGAGAGGACAUGGCAAACCGUUCCAGUAUCUUUGCCAAGAAAACCCCAAAUGGGGUCACAAGGAGUGAAACACGACUGAAAAAAUGGCUGAACAAUCAAAAAAGACAUAAGUAUAAAAGAGCUAAGGCCCAGCAAGCAAGCUAUGUCCUGAGGUUGGCAUGACAACAAU